Molecule: non-coding RNA, 29 nt
Filed under: Cricetulus griseus (Chinese hamster)
Lineage: Eukaryota; Metazoa; Chordata; Mammalia; Rodentia; Cricetidae
Source: RNAcentral
UAAAGAUAUGGGACUCCACACAAAGUGUA